AGCAUGUGGUUAAUUCGAAGCAACGCGAAGAACCUUACCAGGUCUUGACAUCCCUGACAACCCGAGAGAUCGGGCGUUCCCCCUUCGGGGGACAGGGUGACAGGUGGUGCAUGGUUGUCGUCAGCUCGUGUCGUGAGAUGUUGGGUUAAGUCCCGCAACGAGCGCAACCCUCGACCUUAGUUGCCAGCAUUCAGUUGGGCACUCUAAGGUGACUGCCGGCUAAAAGUCGGAGGAAGGUGGGGAUGACGUCAAAUCAUCAUGCCCCUUAUGACCUGGGCUACACACGUGCUACAAUGGGCGGUACAAAGGGUCGCGAACCCGCGAGGGGGAGCCAAUCCAGCAAAACUUCCCUCAGUUCAGAUUGCAGGCUGCAACCCGCCUGCAUGAAGUUGGAGUUGCUAGUAAACGCAGGUCAGCCAUACUGCGUUGAAUACGUUCCCGGGGCUU
This 447-nucleotide ribosomal RNA is filed under the name uncultured Anoxybacillus sp. Its description in RNAcentral is "bacterial SSU rRNA". It matches the Rfam family "Bacterial small subunit ribosomal RNA", at positions 936 to 1382 of the family's 1533-position model. The record is from RNAcentral. Lineage: Bacteria; Bacillati; Bacillota; Bacilli; Caryophanales; Anoxybacillaceae.